AGGAUGAGGUUCGCGGGAGUGUGC
RNAcentral lists this non-coding RNA (24 nucleotides) under Gossypium hirsutum (cotton). The record is from RNAcentral. Lineage: Eukaryota; Viridiplantae; Streptophyta; Magnoliopsida; Malvales; Malvaceae.